GCAGCCGCCGCGGUAAAACGAAGGGUGCAAGCGUUAAUCGGAAUUACUGGGCGUAAAGCGUGCGUAGGCGGUGAGUUAAGUCUGCUGUGAAAUCCCCGGGCCCAACCUGGGAAUGGCAGUGGAUACUGGCUCGCUAGAGUGUGUCAGAGGAUGGUGGAAUUCCCGGUGUAGCGGUGAAAUGCGUAGAGAUCGGGAGGAACAUCAGUGGCGAAGGCGGCCAUCUGGACAACACUGACGCUGAGGCACGAAAGCGUGGGGAGCAAACAGGAUUAGAUACCCGCGUAGUCCCUGUCUCUUAUACA
Molecule: ribosomal RNA, 302 nt
Filed under: uncultured bacterium
Lineage: Bacteria
Description: partial 16S ribosomal RNA
Rfam family: Bacterial small subunit ribosomal RNA
Source: RNAcentral